Eriocheir sinensis (Chinese mitten crab) is the source of this 5128-nucleotide long non-coding RNA. RefSeq lists it as uncharacterized. The record is from RefSeq and is a predicted model, not a curated record. The transcript is spliced from 3 exons. NCBI's taxonomy places the organism in Eukaryota, Metazoa, Arthropoda, Malacostraca, Decapoda, Varunidae.
AGGGAAAAAUAUACAGGUAACUCUCGAUUUACGCGAGUAUUGUGUCCUUGAAGAGGUCGCGUAAAUCAAAAACAAUGUAAAUCAAACAAGAGGUAGGUUUUUAUCGAAAAAUAAAUAUUCACAUUGGUGGGCACCGAUCACUUUUUUGCUGUUCUGAUCCCCGAUCAUCCGAUCAGUUUGGGCAACUGAUCCGAUUCCGAUCAUCCAAUCAUUUUAAGUACUGCUGUUCCGAUCACCAUUCCGAUCAUCCGAUCAUUAAAACUUAUACAGGUAACUCUCGAUUUACGCGAGUUUGGUUUACACGUUUUUGAAAUAACGCGGGGUCCAAAAUCCCAAUAAAUGUUUAAUUUACGUUUUUUUUCACUUAUACGCAAUAUUUUAUGGAGUGGCCACUAGAUGUCUCAUGCAACUGGACUCACACGGUUCUUCCCGCGCGCCACUUGAACAACAAUACAGUACCCACGCUACCACGCUACUCAACAAUAGGGGUGUGCAGGUACCGGUACCAGCUAUACGGUACAGUACCGGUACCAGACUGCUCAGUACCGUUACCAAUACUAGCCAGUCGCUCAUGAUGUCCCUCAUUUCUUCCUCACACGAGUGAGGCUGAGAUUGUGUGCCUGAGUGGAUAUCUUAGUGAUAUGGAUAUUCUCUCUCUCUCUCUCCACUGAAUGAAUAUCUAUUUUUCGAUAGAAACCUACCUCUUGUUUGAUUUACAUUGUUUUUGAUUUAUGCGACCUCUUCAAGGACACAAUACUUGCGUAAAUCGAGUUACCUGUAAUAAUUACAAUUUUUUUAAAAAUAAUAAUUACAAGAAACACCUAGUUUAGGCGUUCCUUUAGUAAUAAUUUGAAAUAAGUAAUAACUUAAUUUUUUUUUUUUUUUUUACAACAUAGGAGGCAGCUCAAGGGCACACACAAAAAAGAAAACAAUAAUAAAAAAAAAGCCCGCUACACGCUGCUCACAAAAAAAAAAAAAAAAAAGAAAAAAAAAAAAGAGAUGGCCGAAAGGAAGAUCAAACUCAGGAGGAGAGGUGUCCUGAUACCCUCCUCUUGAAAGAGUUCAAGUCGUAGGCAGGAGGAAAUACAGAUGAAGGAAGAGUGUUCCAGAGUUUACCAGCGUGAGGGAUGAAAGAGUGAAGAUGCUGGUUAACUCUUGCAUAAGGGGUGUGGACAGUCUAGGGAUGAGCAUGAGUAGACAGUCGAGUGCAGCGGGGCCGCGGGAGGGGGGGAGGCAUGCAGUUAGCAAGUUCAGAAGAGCAGUCAGCGUGGAAAUAUCGAUAGAAGAUAGAGAGGCAACAUUGUGGCGGAAUGUAAGAGGUAGAAGACUAUCAGUAUGAGGAGGAGAGCUGAUGAGACGAAGAGCCUUAGCCUCCACUCUGUCCAGAAGAGCUGUGUGAGUGGAGCCCCCCCACACAUGAGAUGCAUACUCCAUACGAGGGCGGACAAGGCCCCUGUAUAUGGACAGCAACUGUGCAGGAGAGAAGAACUGGCGGAGACGGUACAGAACGCCCAACCUCGAGGAAGCUGAUUUAGUAAGAGAUGAGAUAUGAAGUUUCCAGUUGAGAUUUUGAGUUAAGGAUAGACCGAGGAUGUUUAGUGUUGAGGAAGGUGAUAGCUGGGUGUUGUCAAAGAAUAGGGGAUAGUUGUUUGGAAGAUUGUGUCGAGUGGAUAGGUGGAGAAACUGUGUUUUUGAGGCGUUGAAGAACACCAGGUUCUUCUUGCCCCAAUCGGAAAUAAUAGUAAGGUCUGAGGCUAAGCGUUCUGCAGCCUCCAGUCUUGAGUCGUUAAGUUCCUGAAGGGUGGGUCUUCUAUUAAAAGAAGUUGAGUAAUGCAGAGUGGAAUCAUCGGCGUAGGAAUGGAUAGGACAGUUCGUUUUGGAAAGAAGAUCAUCAAUGAACAACAGAAAAAGAGUGGGAGAUAGGACACAACCCUGUGGGACACCACUGUUAAUAGAUUUAGGGGAAGAACAGUGACCGUCUACCACGGCAGAAAUAGAACGGUCAGAAAGGAAACUGGAGAUAAAGGUACAGAGAGAAGGAUAGAAACCGUAGGAGGGUAGUUUAGAAAGCAAAGAUUUGUGCCAGACCCUAUCAAAAGCUUUUGAUAUGUCCAGCGCAAUAGCAAAAGUUUCACCGAAACGGCUAAGAGAGGAUGACCAAGAGUCAGUUAAGAAGGCUAGGAGAUCACCAGUAGAACGCCCCUUGCGGAACCCAUACUGGCGAUCAGAUAGAAGGUCAGAAGUGGAAAGGUGCUUUUGAAUCUUCCGGUUAAGGAUUGAUUCAAAAGCUUUAGAUAGACAAAAAAGUAAAGCUAUAGGACGGUAGUUUGAGGGAUUGGAGCGGUCACCCUUCUUAGGUACAGGCUGUAUGAAGGCAUACUUCCAGCAAGAAGGAAAGGUAGAUGUUGACAGGCAGAGGCAAAAGAGUUAUAAAUAUCUUUAUUUUUCCUCUUUCUUUUGGUAUACAGGACAUGGUAAAGAAAAAAUGUUAUCUUAACUUCUUAUUUUAGGCAUUUAUUUAAGUCUAGUCUUUUUAUUCAAUUUCUGAAAGUUUGAAAAAGGAAUUAUGAUUGCUAUUUUAGCUUUUGUUUGAAGUUGAUUUAGAUUUUUGACAAAUAUUUUUCAACUUUUUAAUAUUUUAUCAUCGAUGUCUAGGAAAUAUUUUUUACUAUUCUAUAAUAAACGAGCGAUAGUGAUCAUUAAUCUCCUAUCCUUCCUGAUUAAAUAGCUUUCUGAAUAAAAGAUAUUGGUCCAUAAAUAAAUUAGUUACAAGAACAUAAGCAAUAAGGUUUUGAUUUUAAGUGAGCCGGUGUUGUGUCAUCUGCCAUCCACGUAUCCUAAGACAUCCCAACCUGAUCUGCGCAUGCGUGGACCCCGAUGUUUACAAACACAGUGUUGAUAUUGUAGUUUGUCCACGCAAGAUGGCGGCAAGACAGCAUGGCAGAUUUUAUGGGAAAAUGGCCAAAUUAAAAAAUGACAUGGACCCCAUAAUUCAGAUAGCCUGCCAUUAAAUGGACAGAAUCUGAGAAACAUGACCAUCAAUCAGAAGAGAGUGUGGGUUAUCUCAUUUAUCACAUUUACCAACAUACAAGGGGUGUAGGUUAUCUCAUUUAUCACAUUUACCGACAUACAAGGGGUGUAGGUUAUCUCAUUUAUCACAUUUACUGACAUACAAGGGGUGUAGGUUAUCUCAUUUAUCACAUUUACUGACAUACAAGGGGUGUAGGUUAUCUCAUUUAUCACAUUUACUGACAUACAAGGGGUGUAAGUUAUCUCAUUUAUCACAUUUACUGACAUACAAGGUUUCAGGUUACCUCAUUUAUCACAUUUACCUACAUACAAGGGGUUUAGGGUAUCUCAUUUUUCACAUUUACUGACAUACAAGGAUAGGAGGUGGCUGAGUGAUUAGUGUGCGGGGCCAGCAUUCAUCACGCCAUGGACAAAGUCAAUUCGAAUUCCCACGCUACCACCUGGUAUUUUUUAGUCAUCGCCGAGUGGCCUAAGACUACUCACUGGCUGUCCAGAAGACCACCUAUCAUCCCGGAUUCUAGAAGAAACCGUAGAAGUGAAUUAAAAAUGAGUUCCAGGGGGCAGCAUAAGCCAAGAAUAACUAGUGACACUAUGAAAAUUGCCUGCGCCAUGACGAGCUUGGGCCGACCACCAGGCCCCUGAAGAAAGCCUACCGGCGCUAUGGGCUGAGAUGUAAACAAAAAAAAAGUUACCUCAUUUAUCACAUUUACCAACAUACAAGGUGUGUAGGGUACCUCAUUUAUCACAUUUACCGACAUACAAGGGUUGUAGGGUACCUCAUUUAUCACAUUUACCGACAUACAAGGGUUGUAGGGUACCUCAUUUAUCACAUUUACCGACAUACAAGGGGUGUAGGGUACCUCAUUUAUCACAUUUACCGACAUUCAAUGGGUGUAGAGUAUCUCAUUAAUCACAUUUACCGAGAUACAAGGGGUGUAGGUUAUCUCAUUUAUCACAUUUACUGACAUACAAGGGGAGCAGGUUAUUUCAUUUAUCACAUCUACCAACAUACAAGGGGAGCAGGUUAUCUCAUUUAUCACAUAUACCGACAUACAAGGGGAGCAGGUUAUCUCAUUUAUCACAUAUACCGACAUACAAGGGGAGCAGGUUAUCUCAUUUAUCACAUAUACCGACAUACAAGGGGUGCAGGUUAUCUCAUUUAUCACAUUUACCGACAUACAAGGGGAGCAGGUUAUCUCAUUUAUCACAUAUACCGACAUACAAGGGGAGCAGGUUAUCUCAUUUAUCACAUAUACCGACAUACAAGGGGAGCAGGUUAUCUCAUUUAUCACAUAUACCGACAUACAAGGGGAGCAGGUUAUCUCAUUUAUCACAUAUACCGACAUACAAGGGGAGCAGGUUAUCUCAUUUAUCACAUUUACCGACAUACAAGGGGAGCAGGUUAUCUCAUUUAUCACAUUUACCGACAUACAAGGGGAGCAGGUUAUCUCAUUUAUCACAUUUACCGACAUACAAGGGGAGCAGGUUAUCUCAUUUAUCACAUUUACCGACAUACCUCAUUUACCUCAUUUACUGACAUACAAAGGGUGCAGGAAGAAACUUUCAUAUUUCAAGCAAUUUUCAAAUUCAAAACAUACAUCAACAUUUACUUUUAAAAAGAUAAAAAAACAAACUCAGGUGGGACAUAUCGCGAUAGGCAGUCGACAAAGACAUGGUACUAUGUCGCAAUUCAUCCACCCUUUGUUUAUAAAUAAAUCCCGCGCAUGCGUAGAUUGGAUGGGAUGUCUUAGGAUACGUGGAUGGCAGAUGACCACACCGGGUAGGACACGUAGCAAUGGGUUUAAGUUGGAUAAGUUCAGGUUCAACAAAGACAUAGGCAAGAAUUGAUUUACCAACAGUGGUGGAUGAGUGGAACAGACAUAGAAGUCGUGUGGUGAGCGCCAACACGAUAGAUACAUUCAAGAAGAGGUUAGAUAAGUUCUUGGAUGGAAGGGGUAUGGGGCGUUAGUUUGGUGCUGUGCUCUGGGCGGCAUGUUGUGCUGUCUCACGAGACCUCCUUCCUCCUCCUCCUCUUGUUGCGGGAGGAGCCCGACGGGUGGGUGGGGGGGUGUCGAGGGAAGGCAAAGCCCUCCCCCCG